AGAGUUUGAUCAUGGCUCAGGAUGAACGCUGGCGGCGUGCCUAACACAUGCAAGUCGAGCGAUUUACUUCGGUAAAGAGCGGCGGACGGGUGAGUAACGCGUGGGUAACCUGCCUCAUACACAUGGAUAACAUACCGAAAGGUAUGCUAAUACAAGAUGAUAUAAGAGAUUCGCAUGGAUUUCUUAUCAAAGCUCCGGCGGUAUGAGAUGGACCCGCGUCUGAUUAGCUAGUUGGUAGGGUAACGGCUUACCAAGGCGACGAUCAGUAGCCGACCUGAGAGGGUGAUCGGCCACAUUGGAACUGAGACACGGUCCAAACUCCUACGGGAGGCAGCAGUGGGGAAUAUUGCACAAUGGGCGAAAGCCUGAUGCAGCAACGCCGCGUGAGCGAUGAAGGCCUUCGGGUCGUAAAGCUCUGUCCUCAAGGAAGAUAAUGACGGUACUUGAGGAGGAAGCCCCGGCUAACUACGUGCCAGCAGCCGCGGUAAUACGUAGGGGGCUAGCGUUAUCCGGAUUUACUGGGCGUAAAGGGUGCGUAGGUGGUUUCUUAAGUCAGGAGUGAAAGGCUACGGCUUAACCGUAGUAAGCCCUUGAAACUGGGAAACUUGAGUGCAGGAGAGGAAAGUGGAAUUCCUAGUGUAGCGGUGAAAUGCGUAGAUAUUAGGAGGAACACCAGUAGCGAAGGCGGCUUUCUGGACUGUAACUGACACUGAGGCACGAAAGCGUGGGGAGCAAACAGGAUUAGACACCCUGGUAGUCCACGCCGUAAACGAUGAGUACUAGGUGUCGGGGGUUACCCCCCUCGGUGCCGCAGCUAACGCAUUAAGUACUCCGCCUGGGGAGUACGCUCGCAAGAGUGAAACUCAAAGGAAUUGACGG
RNAcentral lists this ribosomal RNA (879 nucleotides) under uncultured bacterium. RNAcentral describes it as "bacterial SSU rRNA". It matches the Rfam family "Bacterial small subunit ribosomal RNA", at positions 8 to 916 of the family's 1533-position model. The record is from RNAcentral.